RNAcentral lists this ribosomal RNA (253 nucleotides) under uncultured bacterium. RNAcentral describes it as "partial 16S ribosomal RNA". It matches the Rfam family "Bacterial small subunit ribosomal RNA", at positions 524 to 776 of the family's 1533-position model. The record is from RNAcentral.
UACGUAGGGUGCGAGCGUUGUCCGGAAUUACUGGGCGUAAAGGGUUUGUAGGUGGCUUGUUAAGUCAGACGUGAAAUCCCUCAGCUUAACUGGGGAACUGCGUCUGAGACUGGUGAGCUUGAGUGCAGGAGAGGAACGCGGAAUUCCAGGUGUAGCGGUGAAAUGCGUAGAUAUCUGGAGGAACACCGGUGGCGAAGGCGGCGUUCUGGACUGCAACUGACACUGAUGAACGAAAGCCAGGGGAGCAAACGGG